UCUGUCAAACUCGGUUGUGUCUAUGAGACAACCUAUACUAAUGUUUAUCUUCACUGGUACAGACAUCAUUCUAACCUUCAGGCACCUCAGUUUAUACUCUGGAAAGGAGCAAAAUCAUAUGCCAGUUAUGGAUAUAUUCCUAACAAUCGAUACGAAUCCCAAACAACAGAUACAUCAACUGAACUGACCAUAAACAGACUAACCCUGGCAGACACAGCCCUCUACUACUGUGCUCUAGAGACACAGUGAUACAAAGUGUAGAAGAGGCUGUACAAAAACCUGAACACAGAUAUCUGACUACUCUUCAAAGAGGAGGGAAGUGGUAUUCAACCCACAGCUUCAUAUCAGAUGGACUCUGCUAAUUCCUGUUUUCUCAGAGUCACUGUGGUGACAGCUGCUAGUGAAACACCGUGGGAGGAUUCACAUGAGCAGCAAAUCCACAUCAAUGAAGAACCAACUGGAUGGUGCUUCAAACACGAGACACCAGGAAAACAAAUAAAUGGACAAUGACGUCCUCACUUAAUCCUCUUCAUACACUGCGGGUCAUUAGGCCACGAUGAGCUGCUUCCAUUGUUCACUGUCCUUGGCAACAUGUAGAGCUACAUCCCAAAUACACACUAAAGCAUUAACUCAUAAAACUCUGAAAUCAUCAGUACUUUAUUUUUACAGACAUUGAAAUCGAAGGAAAAACUCAGCAGAAUCAAACUUUAACAGCUCAAGUUUUUACCAAGUUUCAACAUUGGCUGAUUUAAGCUUCCACAACAACUCCGCCAUCUUUGUAUUUGACCAACAGAUACUAAACUGGCAAAUCAUCCUCAAGAGAAAAAACACUCUGAAAAGAACAUAAAAAGUCACAUGAUGAUCAAAUAUUAACCCUCAGUUUACCUGUGAUCUUUCCCAUAAAAGAUAUUAAAGGGGCCGUAGCAGGUUCACAACAAUUAGUCAAUCUGCGCUAUUUGUAAAAGAGGAAACGUGUCACCUCAAAUUUCCAAUGAUGACUUCAUACAAGACAAGUUAAGGUAGGAAAGCAGAGCGGUACAAAACUGUGUUGAGUGUAAAGUUGUCAGUAGGGGGGGUAACAGAGGGCUGUGAAUGAGCCCUGUCACUGUGAUCAGGCUCCUUCUAGUCCACCAACUUAGUGUUGAUGAAGACUAAACAGAGACUUCACAGCCUUCGUUAUACUUGCUGUAGCUCACAGCGACUCAACACUGCAGAUAUGACGCCUCUGCUCAUCUCAGUGCUGCUGGCUGCUAUGUGCCUUGAAUGCAGAGCACAAAAAGACAACGUGCUGCAACCAAAAAGAGAUGUGACUGCUACUGAAGGAGAGGCAGUAACACUUGGCUGUCUAUAUAACAGCAGUUCCACAAGUAAUUAUCUCUUCUGGUACAAACAGGAUGGAAACAACAGCCCCAAGUUCAUCCUGAGCCGCUUUAAACUGGAUGGAGGGAUCACAGCCGAUGAGUUCAGGGAGAGAUUUUCAUCCACUCUGAAUUCUACCUCAAGAUCAGUUCCUCUGAAGAUCCAGAAGCUUCAGCUGUCUGACUCUGCUGUGUACUACUGUGCUCUGCAGCCCACAGUGACAGGAAACACCAGAACUCUGUACAAAAACCUUUGGAGCAAAGACAACACAAUACUCCACAACAUCCACUAGAGGGAGUCACACACUGUUAAACUUCACUGGUUUCUUAUGAUCCAGUCUAGAUUCUAUGUACUGGUGAU
Non-coding RNA from Xiphias gladius (swordfish), 1719 nucleotides. NCBI's taxonomy places the organism in Eukaryota, Metazoa, Chordata, Actinopteri, Istiophoriformes, Xiphiidae. The record is from the annotation of a RefSeq genome assembly.